This 841-nucleotide ribosomal RNA is filed under the name uncultured bacterium. RNAcentral's name for it is "bacterial SSU rRNA". It matches the Rfam family "Bacterial small subunit ribosomal RNA", at positions 675 to 1533 of the family's 1533-position model. The record is from RNAcentral.
GGAGCCGCGAAAGGUGUAGAAUUCGUUGGACGCCCACUGGGAAAAACCGGUUCUUGGGAUUUUUUGACUCUGAAACACGCAAGCCAGCGGGCGAACCGGAUUAGAAACCCCGGUAUCUUGGCCGUAAAACAAUGUCGAUAGAUUCGUGCGCCUCUACGCGUUCACCAGUGGAAGCAAAAGUGGUAAGUCGCCCCCGCUGGAAGGUACGGUCGCAAGGCUAAAACUCAAAGGAAUUGACGGGGGCUCACACAACCGGUGGAGCAUGUGGUUAAUUCGACGCAACGCGAAGAACCCUACCUGGGCUCGAACGGCUGCGGACCGUUUUUGGANACAGGAGCUUUCCCGCAAGGGACCGUAGUCGAGGUGCUGCAUGGCUGUCGUCAGCUCGUGUCGUGAGAUGUUGGGUUAAGUCCCGCAACGAGCGCAACCCUUGUCCUGUGUUGCUAAUUCGCAAGAAUGCACUCUCAGGAGACCGCCAGCGAUAAGCUGGAGGAAGGUGGGGAUGACGUCAAGUCAUCAUGGCCUUUAUGUCCAGGGCUACACACGUGCUACAAUGGGCGGUACAAAGCGUUGCCAACCCGCGAGGGGGAGCUAAUCGCAAAAAACCGUCCUCAGUUCGGAUUGCAGGCUGCAACCCGCCUGCAUGAAGCUGGAAUCGCUAGUAAUGGCAUAUCAGAACGAUGCCGUGAAUACGUUCCCGGGCCUUGUACACACCGCCCGUCACAUCACGAAAGUGGGUUGUACUAGAAGUCUGCACGCCAACCGAAAGGGGGCAGCGGCCCAAGGUAUGACUCAUGAUUGGGGUGAAGUCGUAACAAGUGUAAAUCGAAUUCCCGCGGCC